CGCCCUUAGAGUUUGAUCCUGGCUCAGAUUGAACGCUGGCGGCAGGCCUAACACAUGCAAGUCGAACGGUAAGAGAGCUUGCUCUUGACGAGUGGCGGACGGGUGAGUAAUGUCUGGGAAACUGCCCGAUGGAGGGGGAUAACUACUGGAAACGGUAGCUAAUACCGCAUAACGUCUUCGGACCAAAGUGGUUCGUCACACCAUCGGAUGUGCCCAGAUGGGAUUAGCUAGUAGGUGGGGUAAAGGCUCACCUAGGCGACGAUCUCUAGCUGGUCUGAGAGGAUGACCAGCCACACUGGAACUGAGACACGGUCCAGACUCCUACGGGAGGCAGCAGUGGGGAAUAUUGCACAAUGGGCGCAAGCCUGAUGCACCAUGCCGCGUGUAUGAAGAAGGCCUUGGGGUUGUAAAGUACUUU
This 418-nucleotide ribosomal RNA is filed under the name uncultured Erwinia sp. RNAcentral describes it as "bacterial SSU rRNA". It matches the Rfam family "Bacterial small subunit ribosomal RNA", at positions 1 to 436 of the family's 1533-position model. The record is from RNAcentral. Lineage: Bacteria; Pseudomonadati; Pseudomonadota; Gammaproteobacteria; Enterobacterales; Erwiniaceae.